CCGUGUACGUACAAGCAGUAGGAGCAGGCUUUGUCCUGUGACUGCGUACCUUUUGUAUAAUGGGUCAGCGACUUAUAUUCAGUGGCAAGGUUAACCAUCUAGGGGAGCCGUAGGGAAACCGAGUCUUAACUGGGCGUUCAGUCUCUGGAUAUAGACCCGAAACCAGGUGAUCUAGCCAUGGGCAGGUUGAAGGUUGAGUAACAUCAACUGGAGGACCGAACCGACUAAUGUUGAAAAAUUAGCG
Molecule: ribosomal RNA, 244 nt
Filed under: Vibrio parahaemolyticus
Lineage: Bacteria; Pseudomonadati; Pseudomonadota; Gammaproteobacteria; Vibrionales; Vibrionaceae
Description: partial 23S ribosomal RNA
Rfam family: Bacterial large subunit ribosomal RNA
Source: RNAcentral